GGCGGGCCGGCCCGAGUAUGACUUGUGAGUUUUGGGCGAUCUAGGUUUUCCUGGCAAGCAGCAGGGCGGCGACGGCGGCAGGACGACCCGCUUCUCCGGCUCGCCGAGAUGGAUGUGGAUUCGGAGGAGGCGGGGAGAAAGAGAGAAACCCACCACGGGAGCGAGAUGGCUGGGGGGAGCAGGAGAACGUCGAAGAAGAUCUCGGAGACGACCGAGUGGCCAUCAGUCAUUGAGUUGAUGGAUGCAUCGGCGAAGGUGUCACGAGAGAAGUAUAUGAAGCGACUGGUGGCCAAGCGGAACGCGGAGAACCCCGACGCGGCGCCGCUUGUGCUGGAAGAGCUCACGGAGCAGCAGCGGACCUCCCUGAAAGAAGAUGAUUUGGCCAGGGAGUUUGUGCUUGCCGAGGCGUACGUGGCCAGCAGGAUGGAGGAGUAUUCGAGAGUGGAGGAAUUGGAUCCGAACCAAGACAACGAUGACCGGGUAUACCAAGAGGAUCGAGAGCGCUGGGGGCGGAAAUGGGCCAAAGAGUUCGGCUCCUUCGAGGACAAGACUCGGAUCCCUGCCAUGUGCUUCACGGAUGAUCCCAUGUUCCACAUCACCCGUGACCUGCCUACUAUGCAGAUCUUUUCAGUCAAAGUCAAGGAAGUACAUGAGAAAUUACAAUGGGCGCUGGAUGUUUAUGGUAUCAUUGCUGUGCGGGACGACAUCGAUCACAACCGCAAUGUUAUCUUUGAGCGCACAAGGGACAACUGUCAAACCCUCGACGAGCAGGAUCCAUAUUUAGUACUAACAGGUCCUGCCCGUGCUCCUGUGAUGUUGUUUGAGCCUGUACGUUUGGAUGUCAUGCUGAAGGUUACGUGCACUGACAAAUCCGAGGACAAAGAUCUAAGCCUCCUUGUCAGACGCUACGAGUGCUGCGAAUCAAUCAAUUAUCAGGUGAGUCAUGGAGAGCUUGUUGCCAAUUCAUGCGUGGGCAGCAAGAGAUUUAAAAGCAAGCUCAGCACAUUGGAGCUGACGUGUGGCAUCGUAGUCUCAUCUGUUGAGGCCACGAUCAGUGUCCGUAUUGUUGAAGGGUCAUGGCCAGAUGGAUUCAGCGGGCGGUUCACUGCCUCCACUGCUUGUGUCAGUCAUAUGAAGGUGCUACUGUUAAAUUUUGGAGAUGGGAAUGUGCUUGUUUCUGCCGAUGGCACCAUUGAGCUCUCAAGACGCGUGGUUUCUGUUGAAAGCUUUGGGGAGCUGAGAAUUUGUGCAGCAGCAUGGCGAGGUAGCAAACAAGUUGACCGUGAGGUGUUAUUUCAACCUCUGAAAUCUGGUAGGAGCUCUCAAGUGCUCAACGUUGGAGUUUGUAAACUGGAAAUCACCGUUGCCUGGUCUCUCUUCCCGUUGAGCUAUCCCACUAGACGUAUUCCUUCAAGCAAGAAUGGGUGAGGCAAUCAAGGCCGGAUGGAGCCCUCCUAGAUACGCCCUUGCCGAUGAAGAGCCAAAUUUAGCUUGAUAUCAGGCGCGGGCCGAUCCUUUUCGUGGACUUCAAUUUCUUUUACAUCGUGUUGAGCUAUGACACCUGUACGUGUGAUUAGGUUGGUCCUCCUGGCCUAUCGACAAGCAGCGUGACACCCUUUGAUGCCGGACGAGGAGAAGACCCUCAUCGAGUAGGCAAUCCGGUUGACUCGGGGCGGGCUCAGAGGUGUCUACAUGGAUCUGGACCUCUAUUGAACUAGUGCCCAACAAUAGUUCUUUCUGCGUAGUUUUGCCCUCUGCCGGGUUGAUUCCCACAGAAGCUCCCCUGAUGAUGAUGAUGAUGAUGAGACUGGGAAAUACUGGGUUGGCCCAUCAGACAUGACUGUAUUAACAAGUCUGAAUGCACGGCUGCACGUACGUUCUGUAGCUUUUCCUCAUGUAAAACUACAUGAUCCUGAGUUUCAUAAUCCAUAUUGUGUAUAAAUUCAUCCAUCCCAUCAGGGGAUUAAGCGCUGUGAUGUCAUUAGACCUGUAGUGUAGCUAGUCGGUACGAAAAGAUGGUCAAGAGGCUCGGUGAAAUCGGCUCCAAAUUACUUGUGCUCAAAAUUUGGUUGGGAGUUUACUUUGUGC
RNA transcript from Brachypodium distachyon (stiff brome), 2088 nucleotides. RefSeq lists it as uncharacterized. The record is from RefSeq and is a predicted model, not a curated record. Lineage: Eukaryota; Viridiplantae; Streptophyta; Magnoliopsida; Poales; Poaceae. The transcript is spliced from 4 exons.